Molecule: ribosomal RNA, 445 nt
Filed under: uncultured bacterium
Lineage: Bacteria
Description: bacterial SSU rRNA
Rfam family: Bacterial small subunit ribosomal RNA
Source: RNAcentral
CCAGACUCCUACGGGAGGCAGCAGUGGGGAAUAUUGCACAAUGGGGGAAACCCUGAUGCAGCAACGCCGCGUGAGUGAAGAAGUAUUUCGGUAUGUAAAGCUCUAUCAGCAGGGAAGAAGAAAGACGGUACCUGACUAAGAAGCCCCGGCUAACUACGUGCCAGCAGCCGCGGUAAUACGUAGGGGGCAAGCGUUAUCCGGAUUUACUGGGUGUAAAGGGAGCGUAGACGGCUGUGCAAGUCUGAAGUGAAAGCCCGUGGCUCAACCGCGGAACUGCUUUGGAAACUGUAUAGCUUGAGUACUGGAGAGGCAGGCGGAAUUCCUAGUGUAGCGGUGAAAUGCGUAGAUAUUAGGAGGAACACCAGUGGCGAAGGCGGCCUGCUGGACAGAAACUGACGUUGAGGCUCGAAAGCGUGGGGAGCAAACAGGAUUAGAUACCCGAGUA